Molecule: ribosomal RNA, 498 nt
Filed under: uncultured bacterium
Lineage: Bacteria
Description: partial 16S ribosomal RNA
Rfam family: Bacterial small subunit ribosomal RNA
Source: RNAcentral
GAUGAACGCUAGCGGCAGGCCUAAUACAUGCAAGUCGAACGAUAUUUUCCAGCUUGCUGGGAGAGAAAGUGGCGCACGGGUGCGUAACGCGUAUGCAACCUACCUUUAUCAGGGGGAUAGCCCGGAGAAAUCCGGAUUAAUACCGCAUAAAAUCACAAGAUGGCAUUAUCCAAUGAUCAAACAUUUAUGGGAUAAAGAUGGGCAUGCGUGUCAUUAGCUGGUUGGCGGGGUAACGGCCCACCAAGGCGACGAUGACUAGGGGAUCUGAGAGGAUGACCCCCCACACUGGUACUGAGACACGGACCAGACUCCUACGGGAGGCAGCAGUAAGGAAUAUUGGUCAAUGGGCGCAAGCCUGAACCAGCCAUGCCGCGUGCAGGAUGACUGCCCUAUGGGUUGUAAACUGCUUUUACCCGGGAAUAAACCUACUUACGAGUAAGUAGCUGAAUGUACCGGGGGAAUAAGGAUCGGCUAACUCCGUGCCAGCAGCCGCCGUAA